This 544-nucleotide long non-coding RNA is filed under the name Physcomitrium patens. Its description in RNAcentral is "long non-coding RNA (PPAT_LNC011690)". The record is from RNAcentral. Lineage: Eukaryota; Viridiplantae; Streptophyta; Bryopsida; Funariales; Funariaceae.
UCAAAGGAAUUCCAAAGAAACAAUAAAAAAUCUUAAAGAAAUAUUAGAAUGAUUAUAAACAUAUCUCAAAUACAUCUCAAUUCAAUCUUAAUUUAAUCCUACUUGAAAUCUUAUUAGACUGCAUUCAAAAUUUAGGCCAAAAACUAACUAAAUCUUAAAUUCUAAAUAAAUUCAAAUAAAACUCUAAAUCCUAAAUAAAAUCCUGAUCAAACCUAAUCAAACCUUAAAUCCUAAAUCAAAUCCUAAUCCUAAAUCAAAUCCUAACCAAAUUCUAACCAAAUUAUAAUCAAAUUUUAAUCCUAAAUAAAAUCUUAACCAAAUUCUAAUCCUAAUCCUAAAUCCUAAACCAAAUUCUAAUCCUAAUCCUAAAUCCUAAAUCAAACCCUAAUUAAAUCCUAAUCCUAAAUCAAAUCCUAACCAAUCCUAAACCAAUUUCUAAAUUCUAAAUCAAACCCUAAUCAAAUCCUAAUUGUAAAUCAAAUCCUAACUAAAUCCUAAUCCUAAAUCAAAUCUUAACCAAACUCUAACCCUAAAUCAAAUCCUA